AGCAUUAGAGGAUAGAAAUGGCAGCUAUCGCACAUUUGUUAUGAGAUGCAGGAAUUGUCGCCCUGCCUAAUGCA
Molecule: non-coding RNA, 74 nt
Filed under: unclassified sequences
Description: skipping-rope RNA
Rfam family: skipping-rope RNA
About the family: Firmicutes, Fusobacteria, AlphaProteobacteria, Spirochaetes. Downstream gene
Source: Rfam by way of RNAcentral